GAUGAAGAACGUAGCGAAAUGCGAUAAGUAGUGUGAAUUGCAGAAUUCAGUGAAUCAUCGAAUCUUUGAACGCACAUUGCGCCCCCUGGUAUUCCGGGGGGCAUGCCUGUCCGAGCGUCAUUGCUGCCCUCAAGCACGGCUUGUGUGUUGGGCCCCGUCCUCCGAUCCCGGGGGACGGGCCCGAAAGGCAGCGGCGGCACCGCGUCCGGUCCUCGAGCGUAUGGGGCUUUGUCACCCGCUCUGUAGGCCCGGCCGGCGCUUGCCGAUCAACCCAAAUUUUUAUCCAGGUUGACCUCGGAUCAGGUAGGGAUACCUGCUGAACUUAAGCAUAUCAAUAAGCGGAGGA
Molecule: unclassified non-coding RNA, 346 nt
Filed under: soil metagenome
Description: partial contains 5.8S ribosomal RNA, internal transcribed spacer 2, and large subunit ribosomal RNA
Rfam family: 5.8S ribosomal RNA (bases 1-120)
Source: RNAcentral